This 1263-nucleotide long non-coding RNA is filed under the name Homo sapiens (human). RNAcentral describes it as "HSALNT0123711". The record is from RNAcentral. Lineage: Eukaryota; Metazoa; Chordata; Mammalia; Primates; Hominidae.
GGGGAGGGGGAAGCUACGCAGCCUUGAUAGCAGCCGGGAACCCUGAGUCCCGGACCCGCACAGCGCAGAGGACCCCAGCAGCGCACUUGUCCCUUUCGCCCUGGCCUUGCCGCGGCGGCGGGGAGAAGAGGGUGGGACGGUCUGACCUCCGCAGCCAAUGAAAGCAGUGAGUUCCUGGUCCGAUCCCCAGCGCGACUCCUCAGUGGUCACCUCCCGGGCAACGGGCCACGGACCCUCGGCACCCCGAGACAAUUGUCAGGCGGAGGAAUGCUGCCAUCUCUAUGAAAAAAAGCCCAUGUAAGCCAGACAAGAUACCAUGGGGAGGAGAAGCAAGUUGCCUCUGUUGACAGCCCCAGAAGCAGAAGCUCACUCCCAGAAGCACAGCUGCUUAGUCAACAAGCAGCUGAUAAUACAUGUCUGAAAGAGCUCAGUUGAGACCAGAAGAAUGGUCCCACUGAGCCCAGCCUAAAUGCCUGACCAUCUCAAUUAUGAUGCUAAUAAGUUUUGGAUGGUUUGUUACACUGUAACAGCUAACUAAUACAUGCACCCAGUGCAGAUAAGAUGCCAGGCUUCAAUGACAGCCUGAUUACUAGUUACCUUCUAAUAGUGGGCACCCUAAAAGUACUAAUUUUUUCCCCCUGAUUUAAAGUUGAAUGUCUUGUAAGAUAAUGUUGAGAAAUGCAGAAAUACAUGUGGACAUGUAUACAUGUGAUUGGUGAUUAUACUCACACAGCACCACAUACAACAGGAGAAAACAGAAAACCACAGCCUGACCAUUAGGGCCGAGGCCAAAUAGCAACAUGAGUUUGCCUUUUUCUAUUUUCUCUGUUUCUAAACAUUGGAGGCCUAUACUGUGUACAGAUCUAAAGACAUAGAGUUUGCUUAUCCUGUGACCUCAUCAUUCUUUGUUCAUGUCUAAUCUCUUGAAGAAAGGUGAGCAACUGGUGGCCAGCAGUGCUUGUAACCUCAGUACCUGAGGUAAUUUUAUUCCUGCUGUCCUCUGCUCUUUUUAUGGCCACUAUCUGUUUCAUCCUUGGAACUGAAGAGAGAUGUUGGUAGGGAGAGGCUCUUGCCGCACCUUUGGCAGAAAAGGGAUGUUCAGGCCCUUCACCUCCUGGGGGAAUGUAGAGGGGUUUCCAGGAAGCCCACUUGAAGUCUGAAUUUAAAGUGAAAGUCCAGCCAGGCCAGGCGCGGUGGCUCACGCCUGUAAUCCCAGCACUUUGAGAGGCUGAAAUGGGUGGAUCACCUGAGGCCAGGAGUUCA